AUAAAAUUUACCUAAUACCUUCAUGCUUCAUUUCACAUGAGUUUUAGUCUAAAAUUAGUUAAAUUGAAGAAGAAGCCUUGGAUAUAAGAUGUCUGAACUUUAACUUUAAUGUUGACCUAACUUCUAUAUAAGUGGAAGCGGAUAACUUUACGGUCAAAUAAAACUAAUAUAUUACGUAAGCAUCUUUCAACUUGUCACUUUACCGCAUUGCACUCUGACAGCGAAAAUUUUCAUUGCAAAUUCUGUCACCGUGCCACAUGUAGACUACACAGCCUGCACAAACAUCCCCGUUAUGGAUGUCAAACUUAAACGAACCGAAAUCGACCCUGUGAUUCUGAAUAUAUGUGAACAGAAUGGGGUUGGCACUCUUCAACUUUUAAAAAAAGCAUCCCUCGAGGCGAGUUUAAAUUCAACGUGACUGAACUAUGCCUUAACGAACCGCACUGAAAAUAUUUCUCAAGAAAACUUUGAUGUAUGCUUAUUUGAAAAGACAUUGUAUGAACAUAUUAAACUAUUAUACUAUUAUUAUUAUUUCUCUAAAAAGAGUUAAACUAAUGUAAGUUAUAUGAAAAUCAUAAUUAAUGUGAAUAGUACUAAUAUCAGCUUCAAUACAAAGAAAAAACUCGGUCCCUCACAACUUUGCUGUUUCUUUGGAAUUCAAAUUCACCCCAGAGCAGUCCUGAUUGAACAUUAAUUAUAGAGGCACAAUGACUCAACUAAGACACGAGUUUUCUGGUUAAGUGAACACUGACAAAUCGGCUGUUAUGCAAUUGCGUGGACAACUGAUUGCAUACAAUCAAAAUAACUGAACCAUGUGUAAUAUGCAAACAGUGUCCAAGGAUAACACGCAUAGAUAUAGAUGGCAUAUUGAUCGAGUCAUCGAUGCGACAACAAUUUGCCGGUCUACUCGACUUUGCCGAUAUGCAAAUGUAUGCUCCAUUUUCCGCUAGGCCGAGAAGGAUUCGCGUACUGGGGAAGAGCAUGCCGGAUGUACUGCUGUCGUCGCAGGAAAUUGAGAACGCUGCAUAAAUCCUGAUCCUGCAAAACAAAUUUGAUACAAUAUAAUCCGGAUAUUGAUACAAUGUCGUGUGUCCUAACGAUAUCACGGAUGUAUGAAUUCCAUUGUUUGUUAGAACUACUUUUAUUUAAAACUUUUUGUUUUUAAAAAAAUUGAGGCGAAGAAUUAAAUUUAUUUGUCAUU
Long non-coding RNA from Pieris brassicae (large cabbage white), 1201 nucleotides. RefSeq lists it as uncharacterized. The transcript has 3 exons. Lineage: Eukaryota; Metazoa; Arthropoda; Insecta; Lepidoptera; Pieridae. The record is from RefSeq and is a predicted model, not a curated record.